GGGGGUAUAGCUCAGUUGGUAGAGUGCUUGCCUUGCAUGUGUAAAGUCCUGGGUUCAAUGCCCAGUGCCACAC
Molecule: transfer RNA, 73 nt
Filed under: Ictidomys tridecemlineatus (thirteen-lined ground squirrel)
Lineage: Eukaryota; Metazoa; Chordata; Mammalia; Rodentia; Sciuridae
Description: Spermophilus tridecemlineatus (thirteen-lined ground squirrel) tRNA
Rfam family: tRNA
About the family: Transfer RNA (tRNA) molecules are approximately 80 nucleotides in length. Their secondary structure includes four short double-helical elements and three loops (D, anti-codon, and T loops). Further hydrogen bonds mediate the characteristic L-shaped molecular structure. tRNAs have two regions of fundamental functional importance: the anti-codon, which is responsible for specific mRNA codon recognition, and the 3' end, to which the tRNAs corresponding amino acid is attached (by aminoacyl-tRNA synthetases). tRNAs cope with the degeneracy of the genetic code in two manners: having more than one tRNA (with a specific anti-codon) for a particular amino acid; and 'wobble' base-pairing, i.e. permitting non-standard base-pairing at the 3rd anti-codon position.
Source: Rfam by way of RNAcentral